RNAcentral lists this unclassified non-coding RNA (375 nucleotides) under uncultured Gammaproteobacteria bacterium. RNAcentral's name for it is "contains 16S-23S intergenic spacer region". Lineage: Bacteria; Pseudomonadati; Pseudomonadota; Gammaproteobacteria. The record is from RNAcentral.
UCCGGUUUGUCGCCGGCAGUCUCAUUAGAGUGCCCAACUGAAUGUAGCAACUAAUGACAAGGGUUGCGCUCGUUGCGGGACUUAACCCAACAUCUCACGACACGAGCUGACGACAGCCAUGCAGCACCUGUGUUCAGGUUCUCUUUCGAGCACGAAGCCAUCUCUGGCAACUUCCUGACAUGCCAAGGGUAGGUAAGGUUUUUCGCGUUGCAUCGAAUUAAUCCACAUCAUCCACCGCUUGUGCGGGCCCCCGUCAAUUCCUUUGAGUUUCAACCUUGCGAUUGUACUUCCCAGGUGGAAUACUUAAUGCGUUAGCUUGGAUACUGACCUUAAAAAAGACCAACAUCUAGUAUUCAUCGUUUAGAGUGUGGACUA